This is a long non-coding RNA of Alligator sinensis (Chinese alligator), 337 nucleotides long. RefSeq lists it as uncharacterized. The transcript is spliced from 3 exons. NCBI's taxonomy places the organism in Eukaryota, Metazoa, Chordata, Crocodylia, Alligatoridae. The record is from RefSeq and is a predicted model, not a curated record.
CCAGUGUUGGGCAAUGACUACAAAGUCGUGUCAGCCCCAAAGUACUCAGCAAACAGAUCUGCAGCCCAGGCGGUGGCGACAGAAAUAUUUUCAGCGUGUGUAAAGAAGUCGAAGCCAGAAACAUCGUAAACUGUCCAUUUUCCACAUCUGAACUGUUGUCAAAUCCAAAUCAAUCAUAACAGGACAAGAAAAAUACUUCUUGGAGAUGUGGAUUUAGUUUUACAAUUGAGGAAAUGUUAAUACUACAGCUAUCUCACGGUUUUGGUGUAUCACAGAAUGUUACCACAUUCUUUCUGCAGUUGAUUAAACAAACAAUUCAUUUUGGAAAACUGAUCUU